AAUGCCCGGUAUCCCAAAGCUCCGGCGCCUUAGGAUGGAUCUGCGGCCGAUUAGGUCGUUGUUGGGGUAACGGCCCAACAAGCCGAUAAUCGGUACGGGUUGUGGGAGCAAGAGCCCGGAGUUGGAUUUUGAGACACGAAUCCAGGCCCUAAGGGGCGCAGCAGGCGCGAAAACUUUACAAUGCAGGCAUCCGUGAUAAGGGAACCUGGA
This 210-nucleotide ribosomal RNA is filed under the name Methanoculleus sp. enrichment culture clone 1. RNAcentral describes it as "partial 16S ribosomal RNA". It matches the Rfam family "Archaeal small subunit ribosomal RNA", at positions 174 to 384 of the family's 1478-position model. The record is from RNAcentral. Lineage: Archaea; Methanobacteriati; Methanobacteriota; Methanomicrobia; Methanomicrobiales; Methanomicrobiaceae.